GCAUAUAUAUAGGAGGAGCCAAGCUAUCGAACAAGUCACUAAAAGAAGCGAGGCCGAGCAUCUGACAUAACCGCACCUCAUAGUGCUGAAGACAGUCAUCAGGAAGCAGUUUCCUAGUUUAUUUCCCCAAUUGCCAUGAAAACCGUGUCGCUGAUAUUGAGUGUAGUUGUGGCUCUGACUUACUGAUGGAGUCAGCCAUACCUCACCCCUACGCCCUGUCUUACCCUCACUCUCAUGAGCAUGGCGGAGGUUUUGGCGGAGGUUUUGGCGGAGGUUUUGGCGGAGGUUUUGGCGGUGGUUUUGGCCAGGGUGGCUUUGGCCAAGAUGGUUUUGGUCAUGGAGGUCAUCAUGGUCACGGAGGUCAUGGUUUUGGUGGUCAUCACCGGAGAUCAUGGUUUUGGUGGUCAUCACGGGGGUUUUGGCCACUUUGGUUAGGCUGUUCGAGACCAUGAUUUCAAUGGUUGGUCUUGGAUAGUGUUCCUUGUGAUUCUCGACCUCCUUCAAAGUUCCAGGCAUAGAUGACAUGGUCUCUUUUUGUAAGACUACCACACAAACAAUACAAGCUUCCAUUUGCUUGUGUAUUGGAGGAAAGGUGACUAACGAACAGAAGCCUUCUCGAGUGGGUGUGACUUGCACCUGCCUAACAUUGGCCAGUAGGCUCGCUGCAGUGCUCUUUUUUAUAUUCAUGUAGUUUCUUGAACCACCACUGACCCUUCACCUUCCAGCACUGCCUCUUCUAUACUUGCAAAUGUAUAUACACAGAGAGGUAUAUGUCUCUUAGUGUAUAUACAUAGAGAGUUAUAUGUCUUUCAGUGUAUAUACACAGAGAGGUAUAUGACUCUUACUGUGCACAGAGUUAUAUGUCUCUCAGGGUAAAUACACAGAGAAGUAUAUAUCUCUCAGUGUAUAAACACAGUGUAUAUACGCUGAGAGCUCGUUAUGAGCCCUAUUUUAGGUAUUAAAGUAUCCUUGGCUGUUGGUAAACAGGUUAAAUGCAUCCUUAAUGAUCCUUCGUGUGGUCGAUUGGGUUUAAACCAAUUUAAUCAACCACUGACAAAGAUUCAAGACACAGCUAAUGAUCUCACAAUGGUUGUAAGUGUCCAACUAAUUGUUUAGUAAUUAGCAAGUGUAAAUUGUGCAUUUAAAAUAAUAUUUUGCGUCGGUAAUGUAUACCAUUUAUGUACAAUAUUUUAUAUAUGUAAUUGAUUAAAUAAAUGUUUAAACUGUA
This is a non-coding RNA of Cherax quadricarinatus, 1228 nucleotides long. NCBI's taxonomy places the organism in Eukaryota, Metazoa, Arthropoda, Malacostraca, Decapoda, Parastacidae. The record is from RefSeq and is a predicted model, not a curated record.